RNAcentral lists this long non-coding RNA (340 nucleotides) under Salvia miltiorrhiza (redroot sage). RNAcentral's name for it is "long non-coding RNA (SMIL_LNC009860)". Lineage: Eukaryota; Viridiplantae; Streptophyta; Magnoliopsida; Lamiales; Lamiaceae. The record is from RNAcentral.
ACCGUCAAAGAUGAACAUAAAAUAACCCUACAAUAGUAUAAAAUCUACACUAGAAUUGUGUAAAUUUAAUGGAGAUGAUCUCACAAUGUAGUGAUUAACCAAAGUGCAAAAACCUCCUCUAACAUUCUGAUUGAAAUACCCAUCCCCUACCUGUAUUUGCACCCAAAAUAAACGUUUUGUUAAAGUGUAAUAUUGUGAGAACCAAAAACCAAAAGCAAAGACUAGCUGAGCUCUUCAACCUUAAUCUAAAUGUAGGUCCUGAUGAUGAGAAAUUCUAACUAUUUUGGUAAAAGCAUACAAUGUAACCAAAAUAUAUCGCAUCUCACUAUCUUGGUAAAAG